UAUUAUUUUGGGUGUCAAUUAUAUUUACCUGGGUAGUAUUAGUUAUGUUCUUGAAACCCAAAGAAUUUGGCGGUAUUCUUUACCUUUCAGAGGAAUCUGCCCCGUAAUCGAUAGUCCACGUUGGACCUUACUUAAUUCUUUUUUGUUUGUAUACCGCCGUUAUAAUGAGGAUCUUUUUAGUGUUUAUAAUCCUCUGGUUUUAUUAUUUUAAUUUAUUUCAGGUCAAGGUGCAAUUUAUUUUUAAGUGUGAGGUGGAUUACAUUAUUUUGUUGAAUUUUGGAUUACUGAUUGAGAUCUUGGGAUGAAAUUGGAUUUGAUUGUAAUCUGUUGGAGAUUGUGUUGAUGAUGGUGGUACUGGAAUAUGCACACAUCGCCCGUCGCUCUCAUUUGUUUGUUGAG
This 399-nucleotide ribosomal RNA is filed under the name Incisitermes minor. Its description in RNAcentral is "partial 12S rRNA". Lineage: Eukaryota; Metazoa; Arthropoda; Insecta; Blattodea; Kalotermitidae. The record is from RNAcentral.